Molecule: ribosomal RNA, 300 nt
Filed under: uncultured bacterium
Lineage: Bacteria
Description: bacterial SSU rRNA
Rfam family: Bacterial small subunit ribosomal RNA
Source: RNAcentral
UUGGGCCUACGGGGCGCAGCAGUGAGGAAUAUUGGUCAAUGGGCGGAAGCCUGAACCAGCCAAGUCGCGUGAGGGAUUAAGGCCCUGCGGGUCGUAAACCUCUUUUGCCGGGGAGCAGUGGUCCGGACGCGUCCGGACCGGGAGAGUACCCGGAGAAAAAGCAUCGGCUAACUCCGUGCCAGCAGCCGCGGUAAUACGGAGGAUGCGAGCGUUAUCCGGAUUUAUUGGGUUUAAAGGUUGCGUAGGCGGGCAUUUAAGCCGGCGGUCAAAUGUCGGGGCGCAACCCCGGCCUGCCGCCGG